This 200-nucleotide ribosomal RNA is filed under the name Listeria monocytogenes. RNAcentral's name for it is "partial 16S ribosomal RNA". It matches the Rfam family "Bacterial small subunit ribosomal RNA", at positions 1 to 195 of the family's 1533-position model. Lineage: Bacteria; Bacillati; Bacillota; Bacilli; Caryophanales; Listeriaceae. The record is from RNAcentral.
UUUAAAGAGAGUUUGAUCCUGGCUCAGGACGAACGCUGGCGGCGUGCCUAAUACAUGCAAGUCGAACGAACGGAGGAAGAGCUUGCUCUUCCAAAGUUAGUGGCGGAUGGGUGAGUAACACGUGGGCAACCUGCCUGUAAGUUGGGGAUAACUCCGGGAAACCGGGGCUAAUACCGAAUGAUAAAGUGUGGCGCAUGCCA